AGUGAACACUGGCGGUAGGCCUAACACAUGCAAGUCGAACGGCAGCACAGUAAGAGCUUGCUCUUACGGGUGGCGAGUGGCGGACGGGUGAGGAAUACAUCGGAAUCUACUUUUUCGUGGGGGAUAACGUAGGGAAACUUACGCUAAUACCGCAUACGACCUACGGGUGAAAGCAGGGGAUCUUCGGACCUUGCGCGAUUGAAUGAGCCGAUGUCGGAUUAGCUAGUUGGCGGGGUAAAGGCCCACCAAGGCGACGAUCCGUAGCUGGUCUGAGAGGAUGAUCAGCCACACUGGAACUGAGACACGGUCCAGACUCCUACGGGAGGCAGCAGUGGGGAAUAUUGGACAAUGGGCGCAAGCCUGAUCCAGCCAUACCGCGUGGGUGAAGAAGGCCUUCGGGUUGUAAAGCCCUUUUGUUGGGAAAGAAAAGCAGCAGGUUAAUACCCCGCUGUUCUGACGGUACCCAAAGAAUAAGCACCGGCUAACUUCGCG
This 492-nucleotide ribosomal RNA is filed under the name uncultured bacterium. Its description in RNAcentral is "partial 16S ribosomal RNA". It matches the Rfam family "Bacterial small subunit ribosomal RNA", at positions 29 to 507 of the family's 1533-position model. The record is from RNAcentral.